AUUAUGCUCUGGCUUUGCUCUUAGUCCUCAUUCUCAACUUGGGUAGUUUGCUCACUUCUCUUGCUAACUCCUAUUGCCCACCACCGCAUGUCAAACCACCUCAUGCAAAGCCUCCUCCUCAUGUACCCACGAAACCACCUCAUGUUAAACCACCCAUUGUAAAGCCACCUCCCUAUCCGAAACCUCCUGUUCCCAAACCACCUCCCCAUCCCAAACCUCCUGUUGUGAAACCACCACCUGUUGUAGUGCCAAGCCCACCACCAACACCAACACCAACCCCAGUUGUCCCAGUGAAGC
This 297-nucleotide long non-coding RNA is filed under the name Malus domestica (apple). Its description in RNAcentral is "long non-coding RNA (MDOM_LNC017345)". Lineage: Eukaryota; Viridiplantae; Streptophyta; Magnoliopsida; Rosales; Rosaceae. The record is from RNAcentral.